CCUACGGGUGGCAGCAGUGAGGAAUAUUGGGCAAUGGACGCAACCCUGACCCAGCCAUGCCGCGUGAGUGAAGAAGGCUUUCGGAUUGUAAAGCUCUUUCGGAUGUGACGAUGAUGACGGUAGCAUCUAAAGAAGGCCCGGCUAACUUCGUGCCAGCAGCCGCGGUAAUACGAAGGGGGCAAGCGUUGUUCGGAAUUACUGGGCGUAAAGGGAGUGUAGGCGGUUUAGUAAGAUAGUGGUGAAAUUCCAGGGCUAAACUUUGGAAUUGCCAUUAUAACUAUUAGACUAGAAUUACAGAGAGGAAAGUGGAAUACCCAGUGUAGAGGUGAAAUUCGUAGAUAUUAGGUAGAACACCAGUGGCGAAGGCAGCUUUCUGGCUGUACAUUGACGCUGAGGCUCGAAAGCAUGGGGAUCAAACAGGAUUAGAUACCCCGGUAGUC
RNAcentral lists this ribosomal RNA (440 nucleotides) under uncultured bacterium. RNAcentral's name for it is "partial 16S ribosomal RNA". It matches the Rfam family "Bacterial small subunit ribosomal RNA", at positions 338 to 795 of the family's 1533-position model. The record is from RNAcentral.